Trifolium pratense (red clover) is the source of this 398-nucleotide long non-coding RNA. RefSeq lists it as uncharacterized. The record is from RefSeq and is a predicted model, not a curated record. Lineage: Eukaryota; Viridiplantae; Streptophyta; Magnoliopsida; Fabales; Fabaceae. The transcript is spliced from 2 exons.
AAUUUUAGGCAAGUGCUAGCAUAGACUGCUUGAUGAUGGAUCAGUGGAGUUACAAAUUUCAUUUGGUGGGCUUCUGAUGCUGCUGAAGGGUGAUCACUCUCAUUUUAACAAGUUUGAGCUUGAUCAGAGGUUGUAUCUUCUGAUGAGGAAAGUCUGAAGACCAGGGUGAAGAAAGCUUGUUUCGAACAUCGAUGUAUGACAUUGUUUACCGUUUGAAAUACUAAUGCAGGUCUUCAUGACCUAAUGAUGUUUUAAAAACAAAUAUUUGGUAACCUUGAAUUAACUUCUGGAAGAAAUUAUCUACAAAAAGUGUAAUUCGGUUUGCUAUCAAACCAAAGAUUGCUGCAUGACUAUCAAGUUUGGAUUAGUUUCCAGUAAAUAAAUUUAGUUGAAACAAA